AUUGAACGCUGGCGGCAGGCCUAACACAUGCAAGUCGAACGGUAACAGGAAACAGCUUGCUGUUUCGCUGACGAGUGGCGGACGGGUGAGUAAUGUCUGGGAAACUGCCUGAUGGAGGGGGAUAACUACUGGAAACGGUAGCUAAUACCGCAUAACGUCGCAAGACCAAAGAGGGGGACCUUCGGGCCUCUUGCCAUCGGAUGUGCCCAGAUGGGAUUAGCUAGUAGGUGGGGUAACGGCUCACCUAGGCGACGAUCCCUAGCUGGUCUGAGAGGAUGACCAGCCACACUGGAACUGAGACACGGUCCAGACUCCUACGGGAGGCAGCAGUGGGGAAUAUUGCACAAUGGGCGCAAGCCUGAUGCAGCCAUGCCGCGUGUAUGAAGAAGGCCUUCGGGUUGUAAAGUACUUUCAGCGGGGAGGAAGGGAGUAAAGUUAAUACCUUUGCUCAUUGACGUUACCCGCAGAAGAAGCACCGGCUAACUCCGUGCCAGCAGCCGCGGUGAUACGGAGGGUGCAAGCGUUAAUCGGAAUUACCGGGCGUAAAGCGCACGCAGGCGGUUUGUUAAGUCAGAUGUGAAAUCCCCGGGCUCAACCUGGGAACUGCAUCUGAUACUGGCAAGCUUGAGUCUCGUAGAGGGGGGUAGAAUUCCAGGUGUAGCGGUGAAAUGCGUAGAGGUCUGGAGGAAUACCGGUGGCGAAGGCGGCCCCCUGGACGAAGACUGACGCUCAGGUGCGAAAGCGUGGGGAGCAAACAGG
RNAcentral lists this ribosomal RNA (759 nucleotides) under uncultured Enterobacteriaceae bacterium. RNAcentral describes it as "bacterial SSU rRNA". It matches the Rfam family "Bacterial small subunit ribosomal RNA", at positions 28 to 776 of the family's 1533-position model. The record is from RNAcentral. Lineage: Bacteria; Pseudomonadati; Pseudomonadota; Gammaproteobacteria; Enterobacterales; Enterobacteriaceae.